UAGGAACCGGGAGAGGUGAGGGGUACUUCGGGGGUAGGAGUGAAAUCCUGUAAUCCUCGAGGGGCCACCUGUGGCGAAGGCGCCUCACCAGAACGGCUUCGACAGUGAGGGACGAAAGCUGGGGGAGCAAACCGGAUUAGAUACCCGGGUAGUCCCAGCCGUAAACGAUG
Molecule: ribosomal RNA, 170 nt
Filed under: uncultured archaeon
Lineage: Archaea
Description: partial 16S ribosomal RNA
Rfam family: Archaeal small subunit ribosomal RNA
Source: RNAcentral